RNAcentral lists this ribosomal RNA (837 nucleotides) under Coryneum ilicis. RNAcentral's name for it is "Coryneum sp. NJ-2019a partial large subunit ribosomal RNA". It matches the Rfam family "Eukaryotic large subunit ribosomal RNA", at positions 67 to 937 of the family's 3401-position model. Lineage: Eukaryota; Fungi; Ascomycota; Sordariomycetes; Diaporthales; Coryneaceae. The record is from RNAcentral.
AACAGGGAUGCCCUAGUAACGGCGAGUGAAGCGGCAACAGCUCAAAUUUGAAAUCUGGCUUCGGCCCGAGUUGUAAUUUGCAGAGGAUGCUUUUGGCGCGGUGCCUUCCGAGUUCCCUGGAACGGGACGCCACAGAGGGUGAGAGCCCCGUAUGGUUGGACACUAAGCCUGUGUAAAGCUCCUUCGACGAGUCGAGUAGUUUGGGAAUGCUGCUCAAAAUGGGAGGUAAAUCUCUUCUAAAGCUAAAUACCGGCCAGAGACCGAUAGCGCACAAGUAGAGUGAUCGAAAGAUGAAAAGCACCUUGAAAAGGGGGUUAAAUAGUACGUGAAAUUGUUGAAAGGGAAGCGCUUGUGACCAGACUUGUGCCAGGCGGCUCAUCCGGCGUUCUCGCCGGUGCACUCCGCCUGGCUCAGGCCAGCAUCGGUUUUCGCGGGGGGAUAAGAGCGGCGGGAAUGUGGCUCCCUCCGGGGAGUGUUAUAGCCCGUUGCACGAUACCCUCGCGGGGACCGAGGUUCGCGCUCCGCAAGGAUGCUGGCGUAAUGGUCACCAGCGACCCGUCUUGAAACACGGACCAAGGAGUCGUCCAUUAGAGCGAGCGUUUGGGUGUAAAACCCGCACGCGUAAUGAAAGUGAACGUAGGUGAGAGCUUCGGCGCAUCAUCGACCGAUCCUGAUGUUCUCGGAUGGAUUUGAGUAAGAGUUCUAACGGACGGACCCGAAAGACAGUGAACUAUGCUUGUAUAGGGUGAAGCCAGAGGAAACUCUGGUGGAGGCUCGCAGCGGUUCUGACGUGCAAAUCGAUCGUCAAAUAUGAGCAUGGGGGCGAAAGACUAAUCG